This 699-nucleotide ribosomal RNA is filed under the name uncultured bacterium. Its description in RNAcentral is "bacterial SSU rRNA". It matches the Rfam family "Bacterial small subunit ribosomal RNA", at positions 102 to 797 of the family's 1533-position model. The record is from RNAcentral.
ACGGGUGAGUAAUGCUUGGGAAUCUGGCUUAUGGAGGGGGAUAACUACGGGAAACUGUAGCUAAUACCGCAUAAUAUCGAAAGAUUAAAGGGUGGGACUUUCGGGCCACCUGCCAUGAGAUGAGCCCAAGUGGGAUUAGGUAGUUGGUUAGGUAAAGGCUGACCAAGCCGACGAUCUCUAGCUGGUCUGAGAGGAUGACCAGCCACACUGGAACUGAGACACGGUCCAGACUCCUACGGGAGGCAGCAGUGGGGAAUAUUGCACAAUGGGGGGAACCCUGAUGCAGCCAUGCCGCGUGAAUGAAGAAGGCCUUCGGGUUGUAAAGUUCUUUCGGUGACGAGGAAGGUUGGUAUGUUAAUAGCAUAUCAAAUUGACGUUAAUCACAGAAGAAGCACCGGCUAACUCCGUGCCAGCAGCCGCGGUAAUACGGGGGGUGCGAGCGUUAAUCGGAAUAACUGGGCGUAAAGGGCACGCAGGCGGUGACUUAAGUGAGAUGUGAAAGCCCCGGGCUUAACCUGGGAAUUGCAUUUCAUACUGGGUCGCUAGAGUACUUUAGGGAGGGGUAGAAUUCCACGUGUAGCGGUGAAAUGCGUAGAGAUGUGGAGGAAUACCGAAGGCGAAGGCAGCCCCUUGGGAAUGUACUGACGCUCAUGUGCGAAAGCGUGGGGAGCAAACAGGAUUAGAUACCCUGGUAGUCCA